CAAGUCGAGCGAGGUAGCAAUACCUAGCGGCAGACGGGUGCGUAACAUGUGGGAAUCUGCCUUUGGCCUGGAAUAACAUGAGGAAACUUGUGCUAAUACCGGAUAAGUCUUUACGGAGAAAGCUUUAUGCACCAUUGGAUGAGCCCGCACUUGAUUAGUUAGUUGGUAGGGUAAUGGCCUACCAAGACUGUGAUCAAUAGCUGAUUUGAGAGGAUGAUCAGCCACAUUGGGACUGAGGCACGGCCCAAACUCC
This 253-nucleotide ribosomal RNA is filed under the name uncultured bacterium. RNAcentral describes it as "partial 16S ribosomal RNA". It matches the Rfam family "Bacterial small subunit ribosomal RNA", at positions 58 to 339 of the family's 1533-position model. The record is from RNAcentral.